UACAGAGGUCCCGAGCGUUGUUCGGAUUCACUGGGCGUAAAGGGUGCGUAGGUGGCAUGGUAAGUUUGAUGUGAAAGCUCAGGGCUCAACCCUGAAAUGGCAUUGAAUACUACUGUGCUGGAGGUUUGGAGGGGGGACUGGAAUUCUCGGUGUAGCAGUGAAAUGCGUAGAUAUCGAGAGGAACACCAGUGGCGAAGGCGAGUCCCUGGACAACACCUGACACUGAGGCACGAAAGCCAGGGGAGCAAACGGG
This 253-nucleotide ribosomal RNA is filed under the name uncultured bacterium. RNAcentral's name for it is "partial 16S ribosomal RNA". It matches the Rfam family "Bacterial small subunit ribosomal RNA", at positions 524 to 776 of the family's 1533-position model. The record is from RNAcentral.